This 429-nucleotide ribosomal RNA is filed under the name Actinomycetes bacterium. RNAcentral's name for it is "Actinobacteria bacterium partial 16S ribosomal RNA". It matches the Rfam family "Bacterial small subunit ribosomal RNA", at positions 355 to 776 of the family's 1533-position model. The record is from RNAcentral. Lineage: Bacteria; Bacillati; Actinomycetota; Actinomycetes.
UAGGGAAUCUUCCGCAAUGGGCGAAAGCCUGACGGAGCAACGCCGCGUGAGUGAUGAAGGUCUUCGGAUCGUAAAACUCUGUUAUUAGGUAAGAACAAAUGUGUAAGUAACUAUGCACGUCUUGACGGUACCUAAUCAGAAAGCCACGGCUAACUACGUGCCAGCAGCCGCGGUAAUACGUAGGUGGCAAGCGUUAUCCGGAAUGAUUGGGCGUAAAGCGCGCGUAGGCGGUUUUUUAAGUCUGAUGUGAAAGCCCACGGCUCAACCGUGGAGGGUCAUUGGAAACUGGAAACCUUGAGUGCAGAAGAGGAAAGUGGAAUUCCAUGUGUAGCGGUGAAAUGCGCAGAGAUAUGGAGGAACACCAGUGGCGAAGGCGACUUUCUGGUCUGUAACUGACGCUGAUGUGCGAAAGCGUGGGGAUCAAACAGG